GUUAGGAAUAUUGGACAAUGGGCGCAAGCCUGAUCCAGCCAUGCCGCGUGAGUGAUGAAGGCCUUCGGGUUGUAAAGCUCUUUAGCCGAUGAUUAUAAUGACUGUAGUCGGAAAAUAAGCCCCGGCUAACUUCGUGCCAGCAGCCGCGGUAAUACGAAGGGGGCGAGCGUUAUUCGGAAUCACUGGGCGUAAAGCGUGCGUAGGCGGCUUUGCAAGUUGGGAGUGAAAGCCCAGGGCUCAACCCUGGAAUUGCUUUGAAAACUGCAAGGCUUGAAGUCGGGAGAGGAUAGCGGAAUUGUCAGUGUAGCAGUGAAAUGCGUAGAUAUUGACAGGAACACCAGUGGCGUAGGCGGCUAUCUGGACCGAUAUUGACGCUGAGGCACGAAAGCGUGGGGAGCAAACAGGAUUAGAUACCCCAGUAGUCC
Molecule: ribosomal RNA, 425 nt
Filed under: uncultured bacterium
Lineage: Bacteria
Description: partial 16S ribosomal RNA
Rfam family: Bacterial small subunit ribosomal RNA
Source: RNAcentral